RNAcentral lists this ribosomal RNA (471 nucleotides) under uncultured bacterium. RNAcentral describes it as "bacterial SSU rRNA". It matches the Rfam family "Bacterial small subunit ribosomal RNA", at positions 28 to 517 of the family's 1533-position model. The record is from RNAcentral.
GAUCAACGCUGGCGGCGUGCCUAACACAUGCAAGUCGAACGCGAAGGAGGUCUUCGGACCUCUGGAGAGUGGCGCACGGGUGAGUAACACGUGGGUAAUCUGCCUUUGGGUGGGGAAUAACGUUCGGAAACGGACGCUAAUACCGCAUAAUGCAGCGGCACCGCAAGGUGACAGUUGUUAAAGAUUUAUCGCUUAGAGAGGAGCUUGCGGCAGAUUAGCUAGUUGGUAAGGAAUGGCUUACCAAGGCUACGAUCUGUAACCGGUCUUAGAGGACGGUCGGUCACACUGACACUGAAUAACGGGUCAGACUCCUACGGGAGGCAGCAGUCGGGAAUUUUGGGCAAUGGGCGAAAGCCUGACCCAGCAACGCCGCGUGAAGAUGAAGUAUUUCGGUAUGUAAACUUACGAAAGAAUAGGAAGAAUCAAUGACGGUACUAUUUAUAAGGUCCGCUAACUACGUGCCAGCAGCCG